Molecule: ribosomal RNA, 253 nt
Filed under: uncultured bacterium
Lineage: Bacteria
Description: partial 16S ribosomal RNA
Rfam family: Bacterial small subunit ribosomal RNA
Source: RNAcentral
UACGGGGGGGGUAAGCGUUGUUCGGAAUUACUGGGCGUAAAGGGCUCGUAGGCGGCCAACUAAGUCAGACGUGAAAUCCCUCAGCUUAACUGGGGAACUGCGUCUGAUACUGGAUGGCUUGGAUUCGGGAGAGGAAUGCGGAAUUCCAGGUGUAGCGGUGAAAUGCGUAGAUAUCAGGAGGAACACCUGCGGUGUAGACGGCUUACUGGACCAUAACUGACGCUGAGGCACGAAAGCGUGGGUAGCAAACAGG